RNAcentral lists this long non-coding RNA (8545 nucleotides) under Equus asinus (donkey). RNAcentral's name for it is "lncRNA (ENSEASG00005025139.1)". The record is from RNAcentral. Lineage: Eukaryota; Metazoa; Chordata; Mammalia; Perissodactyla; Equidae.
GGAAGGCUUUCCACAGGGGGCCCUAGGCAUCUGGGGAGGAGAGCAGCAGGCCCCUUGGGCUGCAGGUCUGGCUCUGUCACUCACCUCCCUCCCUGGUUAAGGAAGUGGCCUGGCCUGGUCUGCUGCUGGCUCAUGCACCCCAGUUGUUAUGAAAACACCUUUAGUCCAUAAGACAUGGAAAAUUGCAUCUGAGCACUCAAGACCUGCGGAUUCUGAACCAUCCUGUAGAACGCUGCUGACUUUCCUCCCCCAGCUCUGCCUCCAUUUGCACAUUCAUGUCAAUAUUCCUGAUCAAUAAAUGUGUCUGGUCUUCAUAUUCUCUUUUGAACCAGUGAUAACAUCUUCCUGGUUCCCUCACUGAUUCAGGAGUAUAAUAAACUUUUUGGGGUUUUUUUCCCCCUUCUUCUCCCCAAAGCCCCCCAGCACACAGUUGUAGAUUCUACUUGUAGUUCCUCUGGUUGUGGCAUGUGGGAUGCCGCCUCAGUGUGGCCUCACGAGCACUGCGAUGUCUGAGCCCAGGAUCCGAACCAGCGAAAACCUGGGCUGCCGAAAGGAGCGCGCGAACUUAACCACUCGGCCACAGGGCGGCCCCUAUAAUAAACUCUUUAACACGUGUUCAUUUCUAUGUAUGUGUGAUGGUCAUGAUUAAAAAGAGGUAACUCUUUUAAAAAGGAUGCUAGUGAGAGGCGCUCAGGCAGAGGGAUGGGUAUACAAAGGCCCGGGGGCCAGCUCUCGGCACCCGGCUUUGAGCAGCAGGUUGCCUGCCCCGGAUCCAGGUCGGAGCAGACCAUCCAGAGCUGCUGAAACGGGCUGAUCGUUCAGUCCCACUGAUGAAGGGGGCGGCAGCUGGGGUAAAAUGAAAUCAUGCCAGUGAUCAAUUGCCAGGCGUUGACGUGCAUGUAAGCUGGGGAUGGCACAACUCGGUGUCACCUUCUGAUUGGAGCAUCUGCCGGGGAGCUAAAGGCACUUCAGCAGUGGCCCCCAUCGCAUCUUCUUCCUUUUUUUUUUUUUUUUUUUUGAGGAAGAUCAGCCCUGAACUAACUGCUGCCAAUCCUCCUCUUUUUGUUAAGGAAGACUGGCCCUGAGCUAACAUCCGUGCCCAUCUUCCUCUACUUUAUAUGUGGGAUGCCUGCCACAGUGUGACUUGAUAAUCGGUGCCAUAUCUGCACCUGGGAUCCGAACCGGCAAACCCCUGGCCACCAAAGUGGAACGUGUGAACUUAACUGCUGUGCAGCUGGGCUAGCCCCCAUUGAAUCUUCUGAUACUGCAAUUGGACCGGUCACUCCUCACCAGUCAGGGAGCGGGCACUGGGCACGGGCCGCUUCGUGUGAUGAGCUCUCUCUGCACACAAAUGAAGGCAAAUCUCACCAGGAACGAAGGUGAGUGGGGACACGAGAAGCCUCAUGUCUGAAACCCGGAGAUGCCACAAAUGCUUAUCAGAAUUGCCAAUCCUAGGCAUGAGAGCCCUUAUGCCAAUUAGCCAAAAGGUUCCUGAAACACUCAAAAGAAGGCAGAAGAAACCGGACUUUCCGUCUAGGAGCGUCAUAUGAUGCGUGCAGCCUUUGCGGGAAGCCAGCGCGGGCUCCUCCAGCCUCACCCAGAGCGGCCUGCAGCUCCGGUUAGCCUCCAGCUGUGCGGGGAGGACCUUUCCUUUCUCUCCCUUCUCUCUCUUGUCCACUUCUCCUGACAACUCCAGCUGGAGUGCGAAUGGUUGUUCCCAAGGACAGCCCCUGCUUGGGGGCCCCUCAGCCCGGCACCGCUUUGUCCCCAGCUCCAGCCAGUGUGGCACAAUCGGUGUGUCCAGUUGUGCACAGCACUGGGCAUCUAUGCGGUGCCAGGCUCUCUGCCCGGCGCAGGGCAGGCGACAGUGACCCAGACCCACUCUGCCGUCACAGAGCUGACCACCAUGCCGAGGGGUCAGGGCUGGAUGGACUGUGGGCACAGAGGGCGCCCCGCUGGACAUUCCUGCAUCACCAGGGGAUGCUGUAUUGGCAGCUCAGGGGCCAGAGCUGGCGAAGGGGAAGGAGAGAGUCCAGACUGGAUUCUGAGCCCCCACAGAUGCUCCGGAGGGAUCCCCGGGAGGCAGGGGAUAGAGCCAAGGGGCUGGGGCAAUGGCUGGACCCAUUUCCCUGGGACUGAGUGGUCCCUGAGCCCCUCCCUGACCCUCUCAGGCCUCCUGUGGAGGUGGGGCUCCUCCAUCAGCAUCUCCCAAGGCCAGGAGCCAGCAGGAAACCCUCUGAUCUCUAAGCUCUGCUUCCUCGUUUGAUUUGCAUAACAAUCUGCCCAGACCAGCUUUGUACCUUUCGAGCUGGCAGGCAGCACUGCCCUCUGACAAAAAACCCAACCAGCCAGCAAACAAAGCCCUGACGAAAGGAGGGCCUGGUGGGGUGCCUGGGUGGUCUUGCCGGGGAGCUGGCUCUUGGGGACUGGCUGCCUCUGGAAUGAGCUUGGGUCAGUCCCAGGUGAGGGGCCCUCCUUGAAACGGCACCCUCCUGGCAUGAGGCCCAGCAUCCCAUCAGGAGGGGCCUGUCGGAGCCCUUGGAGAAUUUAUCCUACAUACCCACCCAAAGGGACGUAGGGCAGGGGCGGUCAUCACAGCACUGCUUGUCUUAGCAAAGGCUAGAAGUAACUGGGAUGUCCAACAGUGGGGGAUCACGGAUUCUGGACAUCCUGGGCGUUGUCCAGCAGAGCGCUACAAGCCCUUAAAACGAGCCAGGUCCCCUGGCGUGUGCUCAUAUGUCAGGGGCACCUCCUGUACCCCGACGUGGCACUUCGCCCACCCCCCAGAGGCAGCCACAAGCCCUCCGCAAGGAGCUCUGUGGCCCUCAGAGCCCCUCCCCGCAGCUGCUUUGCAUGGCUCUGUUCCUUGCCUGGCACCGGGGCUGGGGCAGAGGAGUGAGGCGGGAGACAAAGACUUCAGAGCCCGGGGCCCUGCCAGUCCCAGCCGUGCGGCCUGGAGCCACCCGCCUGGCUCUGGGUCUCGGGCUCCUCAUCGGGAAACUGAGGACAGUUUACGUACCUCACAGCAUCCCCUGGCACCUGGGACACAGGGUAGGUGUUCAGCGACGGUGGGUGGGAUGGAGGUGCUACCCGGUGGGAACCAGGGGGUGCAGACUGGAGGCGGGGCUGGUUCCUCCUUUCACUUCCUCCCUCCUCCUUUAAGCUCACAUCUCAUAGUCAUGCGUUUAACAAACCUUAAAAUAAAAAUACGCAUUAUCUUCUUUAUUCCUCUUGAGGCCUCCAUGAGGAGGACUUCCCCUGUCUCUAUUUUUCAGAUGAGGAAACAGUCAGUGAGAACAAGGGAUCUGGCUGAGGUCACCAGCUGGUGAUGAGGUCAAGGCCCAGUCAUCCACUUGCCUUUCUGCCUCCCCAACGCCAGGCCCUGGCUGGGCACUGGGCCACAGGGAUGAGCAGAGCCAGGCUGGCCCAUGGGGGGCUCACAGUGGGGGCAGAGGCCUGACCUCUGGGGUUGGGAGGUAUGUCAGGGACGGCUUCCAGAGGAGGAGCCUGGGGAUCUGGGGGUGAGGGAAGGUGGGUGGGAAGGGAUUCUCGUGGAGGAUAAAGCAUGUGCAAAGGCCCCGUGGUGUGGGAAAGGGGAAGUUAGGCCAAUGUGGCUAGAGCAAGGGUGCAAAUGGAGGAGGGCAGGAGUCAGGGUUCUGAUCAAGAGGUGGGCAUUGGAUAUGAGGGCAGUGGGUCAGAUGGAGCUCAGGAGCCCCCACAAUGCUGCAGGGAGGAGAACCCUGUCCCAGACACUUAUCAAGGCUGGGCCAGGCCCCCAGCUUCUGGGUCCAGUACCAGCUAGAAUAGGCAUCUGUCUCACAGGCUUAGAAUUCCAGGACAGGGACCUGUGGGAAGAGGGGCUUGCUUGACAAGCUCAACGGUUCUUUCAGCCAAGAGGGGCUGAGGACCUCGGGACCAGCUGCCCUCUUCAGCUCUUCCCAGGAUUCAGCUGCCCAGGUCGGGACCUGCAGAAACUCCAGGUCUUCACACUGUCUUCCUGAAAACCUUAUUUACACUAAAGUGUCAAUGACUCACACAGCUUAAAAUGAAGUGGUUCUGCACUCCGGCUGUUCAGAAGAAUGCCGCUAGAUGUGUGCAAAGAACUUCUGGUACAGAGGCGAAGACGCUUAAUGCAGCCUACCGGCGAGUGGUAACAUUUGGUGAAUGGCCUCUGCACACAGAGGCCCUUGGAGAGAAAGAGGCAAAGGGAGACAGAAAGGUCAAAAGGUCCAAAUCAUUUUCAAAAAUGGGAUUGUACCACACCUGCUAUAUUUUAAACUAAAAGUAUUUAGUUUUUCUUGAGUUCCACAGAAAGUCUUAGAUAAAUCUUUACUUUCCACAGAGAUAUUAGUUCAUAGCGAAUUUCUCUAACGUUAAGAAAAAAGAUUAUGAAACUCAUUAAAGAUUGGAGUCCUGGAGAAAAAGAAUCAAUGUUUCAUUUUGGGCAGGCUCCGUCAUUUCCUUGGAAUGAGAAAGGUGAUCAGUUCCCUUACACAACCUCUCCCUGCCUCCAGCUCCUGAUUUUUUUUUUUUUUUUUCCUGAGGAAGAUUGGCCCUGAGCUAACAUCUGUGCCAGUCUUCCUCUAUUUUUUUGGAUGUGGGAUGCCGCCACAGGAUGGCUUGAUGUGCGGGAUGUAGGUCUGUGCCCGGGAUCUGAAUCUGCAAAUUCUGGGCCACCAGAUCGGGCGCGUGAACUUAAUCACCAUACCACUGGGCCGGCCCCCCAGCUCCCGAUUUUGAUUCUGAUGUUUUCACUGUGUCAAGGUUUAUAAUACUUACAAUCUGUUCUACAACCAUAAUUCUCCCAGUAUUUCAUUUUAGUCUUGUAUUCAAACAGAUUCCAUUCCAUUUUUAAAGCACAUUUUGUCCCUGAGUUUUGCACUUGGAGUCAUCUCUUGGUUGUAGCAGGAAAAACUGUGAAAGAUUUUGAAAUGGACCAAAAAAGCCAAAAAGACUACUGGUGUCCUGUAUUAAGGAACCUGUGCCUUUCAUCACCUUUGCACAAAUCUAAGUUGUAGAAAAAUGACAGCAGUGCAAAUGAUUCUUAUGCAUGGAAUGCAAAUGAAUUGCAUCCAGUGGACCGCAAUUGAUCGUCGCCCUGUGGGUAUUGAUCGGCUUUGCAUGCAUAUGUAAGUUCAUCUCAUAUUCCUUAUCUGUCUAUACGUGUGUGUUGUUCCAAUUUCCCCUGGAACCACUUGGAACCUAUUUCUUGUUCUCUAAUUAUUUAAUCAGUUAAACCAAGUUUUUGACAUGUGUUCAUUUUCUAUUGUAUGAGAGUCAUGAUUUUACCUUAAAAAACAUUGCCCCUUUCAAUGGUUAGCUAGUUUCAUUGCUGAGUAAUUUUCUUUUUCAAAAAAGGCUGAGGGUGCUAUUCCCCUGCCUCUUUCCAUGUUGUCUGUAAAUCUGAACUCCCUCACCGGGUGUCAUGUUCUUGGUUUCCCCUUUUCCACCCAACUCAGUUUCCUUUCCUUCUGGUAUUGAAUGUUGCCGCGGAAAAAUUUGAGGCCAGACUGAUUUUUUUCUCCUCUUGGUGACUUGCUUUGUUCCCCCUGGGUGUCUGAAGAAGUGUCUUGUUUGUCCUUCAAAGUUCAGUAACUCAGCUGGAUUCAGCAUGUCCUGACGCUGAUCUCGGGAACCCCCCUGGGUCCUCUCACAAGUACAGCUGGCUGCUUCUUCCUCCCUUUUGGGGAGAGCUUCUCCAAAUAUUUUUUCUGCAUUAGCUGUUGGAUAAUCAACUUCAGAGACCCCGGUUCCUCUUACAGGAGGUCUAGGUUCCAGAAUGAUCAUCUUUUCUCUAAUUGUUUGAGUUACUUUGUCCUUUUUCUCUGAAUUCAUUGUGAUUAUUUCGAGUUUCUCUCUGUGCUCUUAAUCCGCUCUUCAGACGUGUGCAACUCAGUUCGCAGAAGUGCAGUGGUCCUGUCUGGGUCCUCAGCGUGCGUCUUCCCCUCUGCACGCUCUUUGCCCCUCCUGAUGUUAUUUUAAUCAUCUCGCCUCUGUGCUCUCUUUCAAGCUGAUUCAUGUUCUCAUUAACUUUCCCCUGGCCUGCAGCUAUCCGUUUCAAGGAAGCCACCUUCCAUCCUCAGAUCCUCUUCCCUUUCAGCUGUGCCCUCAUGUGACUUCCUUCCCCUUCCUGGCGGUCGCAAGGCAGCCUUGCAAGUCCUUUUCAUCUUGCGCAGUCCGCUGGAGCGACUCCUGCAGACGUUUGACUCCUAACAUCGGGCACCGCUCUGCCUUCCCCUCAGGACCCUUCUCAGGGUUGUGCUGUUUUCGGCCUGCGUCUCGGCGGCUCCAAGGUGCCAGGGGAUCUUCCCUUUCCUGCCGCCCUGUCCCCAGCCUGCUGCCCGGGCCCUGCUGUCCAGCCAGGUGUGUGUCCUGCUCCCAUGCCCAGUGCAGCCCCGGAUGCGUGAGGACGGAGGGCCCAGGAGGCCAUUGCUGGGGAGACUGUCUUCCUGGUCGGUUGGCUCCUUCUUUUCAUAAGCCAUUUGUCACUGUUACUCAUUUUGUCAGGCGUCGGGGUGGGAAGACUCUGCUCUCCCUCCCCUCCGCCCUCUGCAGUCUGAACUCCUGUCCCCGGCAGGCUCUUAUAAAUGCAAAUCUGCAGGUCCUGCCCACCCUGAGGCCCAGAGAGACUGAUUCUGUGGGUCUGGGUGGGUCCUCCCUCCCCAGUCAAUGUGAUGUGGGCUUACAGGCCUGGGGUUGAGGACUACUGAGUCAUCUAUCAGGAUGAUUUGCAUUUUUGUCAAAUUAAAGGAAUGCAGCUCUGAUUAUGCAAAACCACAUGGCUCUGAAUGUUUCACCAUUUUGGAAUGUCCGAGUGGGUGGGCAAAUUGGAUCAUUCAUUCUAUUGGUGACACUCCGAGGCCCAGAGAGGGGAAGUGACUUGCCCAAGGUCUCACAGCAAAUCAGCAACAGACAGAUUUGAAGAGCUGGAAAUGGCAACCCCAGAUCUGGGGCCCGAGGAUCAGGGUAGCCUACCUCUGAGGGCAGGGAGGCCUUUGUCCGCGGCAUGAGGAGCCUCCUUCCCCUCUCUGGGACUCACAGAGAGGAAAUGGUUGUGGCCGUGCCCCUGGGGAACUUUGGUGGUGAGCUUCCCUGGGGGAAGUGGCCAGGACAGGAGGUACUCCACCAAUCCGAGUCCUCCAGGAGGAGCGACCCCACAUCUCCUCAUGCCCGCCCCCUCCAUCCCGCCACUGCCCAGGACCCCGCUCUCCACACAAGCGAGGGCCUGUGAUGACCCAGGCCCGGGGUCGGGCAGGGGGGCGCCGAGCAUCCUUGAGAUGAGAGGAAGCGGCAUCAGAAAAGGCGGGAAUCCGGGAUUAGUGCUGGAGUUGGGGGGUCAGCCCUUUCCAGGAGGGUCCCCUGUCUGCCCCAGGAAGAGGCUGCCAGAGCAGUUUCGGCCACGACUGGGCAGCGGGCUUGACCCCCCAACCGGAGGACUGGGACUCUCAGGGCAGCCCGAGGAGAACCCUGGGCCCACCCUCGCUCGGUCCGGCCGUCAGGUCUCAGUGUCUGGGGCAGCCUCCCCACGGCUGCAGUGGGGCCGAAUCCUUGGGAAGACAAGGCUGUUCAGGUUCCCGGUCCCUGGGCUGUGGAGCUGGAACAGACGCGACCUGAGCGUCCUGGAAACGUCCCCAGAGCCGCUGUGCGAGGAGGUGGGAAAGGCCUGUCACUCACCACCGAGCUAUGACUUAACCUCUCCCUGGGACCUCUCUGAUCUUUCCCUGUACAGUGCCCCCUCCCCGCCCCCACCCACCCUGGAGUCCCUUCCACUGCCCAGUCCCAGCCCUCUGCGCCCCUUACCCGAAGAGGGGGCCAGCUAGCGGCCCCCUGCGCGUCCUGGGGAGUGGGGGGCUGCUGCCCACGGCUACAGCCUGGGAGGCUCCCGCAGCCGGGACGAUCAAGGCCCAGAAGCCCCAGGACCACCGAGUGGCCGCCCAGGCCCUGCCGCUGCCCGAGACCUUGAGCGCCGCACCCACGUUCAGGGCUCCUCGGCUCUUCAGCAACCCAGGGGGAGGCAGACCAGGCGCCCCGCCGUCCCCAGACCCACUGUCCAGAUGGGGAAGGAGGCUGGGAUGCGAAGGGCCCUGCGCUGUCCCCGUGCCCCACCAGCGCUGCGUUUGCUGGGUCUGCGAGGGGCGGUCCGCUCACGGCUUCACUGGCCGGUCUCCCUGAAAGUUUGCAGGCAGCUUGUUAUCACGGCUAAUUGUCGGCACACAUUUUGCCCAGGGCUGUAACUCGCCGAUUUGCUCUCACCGUUUGAUCUGUUGAGUCUUCUCCUCCCUUUGGAGAAGGCCUGGCUGUCAUGGAAGGGGAUGCAGAGCUGAGCUGCUCCCUUCUUUGUCCCAAGGUCUUGGUUUCCGGGAGGCCCUGUGUGCUCCUGGGAGCAGCCUGGGAGCCACCGUGCCGUCCAGGGAGACUGCUGAGACCUUCUUCAGCCCCUGACUGAUCCAGGGUCCCUUAACCUUUCAGGGAUGCUGGCCCCUCUCAGAGUCUGAUGAACCUCGUGGCCUCUUUCCUGGAAAUCUGCACAGAUACACAAAAACAG